This 497-nucleotide ribosomal RNA is filed under the name uncultured bacterium. RNAcentral describes it as "partial 16S ribosomal RNA". It matches the Rfam family "Bacterial small subunit ribosomal RNA", at positions 28 to 507 of the family's 1533-position model. The record is from RNAcentral.
GAUGAACGCUGGCGGCGUGCCUAAUACAUGCAAGUCGAGCGAACAGACGAGGAGCUUGCUCCUCUGACGUUAGCGGCGGACGGGUGAGUAACACGUGGAUAACCUACCUAUAAGACUGGGAUAACUUCGGGAAACCGGAGCUAAUACCGGAUAAUAUAUUGAACCGCAUGGUUCAAUAGUGAAAGACGGUUUUGCUGUCACUUAUAGAUGGAUCCGCGCCGCAUUAGCUAGUUGGUAAGGUAACGGCUUACCAAGGCAACGAUGCGUAGCCGACCUGAGAGGUGGAUCGGCCACACUGGAACGGAGACACGGUCCAGACCCCUACGGGAGGCAGAGGAAGGGAAUCUUCCGCAAUGGGCGAAAGCCUGACGGAGCAACGCCGCGUGAGUGAUGAAGGUCUUCGGAUCGUAAAACUCUGUUAUUAGGGAAGAACAAAUGUGUAAGUAACUAUGCACGUCUUGACGGUACCUAAUCAGAAAGCCACGGCUAACUACGUG